RNAcentral lists this ribosomal RNA (332 nucleotides) under uncultured eukaryote. RNAcentral's name for it is "partial 18S ribosomal RNA". It matches the Rfam family "Eukaryotic small subunit ribosomal RNA", at positions 1470 to 1796 of the family's 1831-position model. The record is from RNAcentral.
CCCUUAGAUGUCCUGGGCUGCACGCGCGCUACACUGGAAGUUACGGAUUGAGAUACUACCUUGUCCGAAAUGGUCCGGGUAAUCACCUAAAAGCUUGUCAUAAUUGGAAUGGAUUAUUGUAACUAGUAAUCCUGAACGAGGAAUUCCUAGUAAGUCCCAGUCAACAGCUGGUACUGAUUACGUCCCUGCCCUUUGUACGCACCGCCCGUCGCUACUACUGAUUGGACGUUUAAGCAAGAUUUUUAAACACUGACAGUGUGUAGUUCACGCUAUACUACAGUGAGAAGAAGAAGAUCGAGCUUACUUGUCUAGAGGAAGUAAAAGUCGUAACA